Molecule: ribosomal RNA, 119 nt
Filed under: Lepisosteus oculatus (spotted gar)
Lineage: Eukaryota; Metazoa; Chordata; Actinopteri; Semionotiformes; Lepisosteidae
Source: RNAcentral
GCCAGCAGCCAUGUCACCCUGCAACUUACAAUUGGCAGCCCACUGAAGCUAAGUAGGUGUGAGCUUGGUCAGUACCUGGAUGGGAGACAUCCUGGGAAAAACUAAGGUUGCUGCUUGAA